RNAcentral lists this ribosomal RNA (472 nucleotides) under uncultured delta proteobacterium. Its description in RNAcentral is "bacterial SSU rRNA". It matches the Rfam family "Bacterial small subunit ribosomal RNA", at positions 9 to 524 of the family's 1533-position model. Lineage: Bacteria; Deltaproteobacteria. The record is from RNAcentral.
GAGUUUGAUCAUAGCUCAGGACGAACGCUGGCGGUGUGCUUCACACAUGCAAGUCGAACGGGGUAGCAAUACCCAGUGGCGGACGGGUGAGUAACACGUAGGAAUCUGCCUCAAAGUGGGGAAUAACUGACCGAAAGGUUAGCUAAUACCGCAUACGUCGCAAGAUAAAAGGAGUAAUCCGCUUUGAGAUGAGCCUGCGUCCGAUUAGCUAGUUGGUAGGGUAAAGGCCUACCAAGGCUACGAUCGGUAGCUGGUCUGAGAGGAUGAUCAGCCACAAUGGAACUGAGACACGGUCCAUACUCCUACGGGAGGCAGCAGUGGGGAAUUUUACGCAAUGGGGGAAACCCUGACGUAGCGACACCGCGUGAACGAAGAAGCCUUUUGGGGUGUAAAGUUCUGUCAGCAGGGACGAAAAAAUGACGGUACCUGCAGAGGAAGCAUCGGCUAACUACGUGCCAGCCGCCGCCGUAAC